AUCACACGUCAAACUUCAACUGACACAACGGUCUCGGUGAAGGGAAUAAGCAAAAGCUCCUUUAAAUUUCGUCAUUUUUUAUACACAUCCCGUUUAUUUUGAAGUUAAUUGUUAGAUAAGUAAGUAAUUUCGUCAAGUUUUCGUUACAGAGUAAGAUUUCGUUAUCAUCGUUACCAUAUACAGUAUUUAUAUUGGUUCAAGAGCGCAGUUUGAUAACUCAUUCAAGGGGGUUCUGUUCCUGCAGUCUUCCAGCAAUACUGGCGCGUAUGACGAUGCGGACACGAACUGCACACUACAGUAUACCGCCGCCUACUGUACUGUAGUAAAAUAACGUCCUUUAAACAUCUAAACAUGUCCUCCAAAAAGGAAAAAGGGAAAAACACUGGAAAACAAUUUCAGCCUAAGGUUUGAGAUGGCUAACUGUGUACAUUGCCUUUGUGUACUGCAAGCUGAACUUACAGAUUUAUAUGGACUUUACUUACAGGUUUCCUGUGCUGUUUUGCUCCAUUUUACAGAACAAAAUAAGGCUGAGGUAGCACCAUCCUUGUGGUUAGAGUGAAAGAAUGUGGGUAUUGAGACCAAAAUAAAUAAUGUGCCAUUCUGGACAAACAGCUGUGGACAAUACAAGCAGUCAGAGUAGCCCAUUUUCUCACACAGAUGAGGAGCAACCAGUAAGAAAAAGCAAAAAGAUGUUUUGAUGUUGCCUGAGGCACCUUAUUCACAUCAGUCAAUUUCUUCCAAUAAUGAAUCAAGAAAUCCUGGAGUGGAGAAUCAUUCUGAAAGUAGACCAAAUACAGGACAACACCACAGCAGUGGUUGGAAAAAUGCAGCAGACAAUGAGCAAACCAAGCUGACUUUCAAAAGAUGAUUCGUUAUCUGUUUCUUCAAAGGGGAGGCAGUUUGGGAGAUGGGAAAUAGGAGGAUGCUUCAGCUACACAGGGCGAAUUUCAGCAGCUCAGUUUCACACUUGCAACUAACAAUGAAUUAUAGUUAGAAGACAACGGAAAUAUUUGACAUGGGAGUCCAGCAGACAGCCAGAGACACGCACACACACGGAGCUGAAGCGCGUUUGACUGACGCGUACGGGAGAUCAGGCACGCGCACGGGAGCUCGCUCGCGCACGCACACACAAACACGGAGCACAGGAAAAUUACACCUGUUCAAUUCAAAUAAAAGA
Paramisgurnus dabryanus is the source of this 1177-nucleotide long non-coding RNA. RefSeq lists it as uncharacterized. The record is from RefSeq and is a predicted model, not a curated record. Lineage: Eukaryota; Metazoa; Chordata; Actinopteri; Cypriniformes; Cobitidae.